GAAUGAGAAUGGAACAUAAUAAUGAUGGUAAUGCAAAUUGCUUAAUCUAUGUUUGUGGAUGCUGUUAAUAAAAACAAAGCAGAAAAACAUACAUUGAGCAGAAAAACAAAGCUUGUGAUAUGGGUAGAGACAGGCCAAUUGAGAGGGAGAUCACAAAACUGUCUCCUACUAUGAUGGUCCUGCACUAAUUUUACUAACGUUGCUGCCGCUGCUACUACAUCCCCAACAUAACAUAAAUAUAGCUUAAACUUGCUAGAAAUGGAAAUGCAUGAUCUGUGAAGCAUGGAGUAAAUUUUCAAGGCCUGGUAAAUAUGCAGCCUUUCGGAGGAGAUGUAGUGAAGGGAGAAUUUGAAGGAAAAACUAGGAAAAAAAAA
RNAcentral lists this unclassified non-coding RNA (374 nucleotides) under Hevea brasiliensis (rubber tree). The record is from RNAcentral. Lineage: Eukaryota; Viridiplantae; Streptophyta; Magnoliopsida; Malpighiales; Euphorbiaceae.